This 83-nucleotide small nucleolar RNA is filed under the name Panthera leo (lion). RNAcentral's name for it is "Small nucleolar RNA U3 (ENSPLOG00000003134.1)". Lineage: Eukaryota; Metazoa; Chordata; Mammalia; Carnivora; Felidae. The record is from Rfam by way of RNAcentral.
AAGACUAUACUUUCAGGGUUCAUUUCUAUAGUUUCUCUGAAUACAUAGAGUACUUGCUGAACGCAGACAUCAGUGUGUGCUGA